Meriones unguiculatus (Mongolian gerbil) is the source of this 2142-nucleotide long non-coding RNA. RefSeq lists it as uncharacterized. The record is from RefSeq and is a predicted model, not a curated record. The transcript is spliced from 5 exons. Lineage: Eukaryota; Metazoa; Chordata; Mammalia; Rodentia; Muridae.
UCUUCUCAACGAAGGGAGACUCUGCUCAGGAAGGCCUGCUGUUGGUGGGAGAGGAGCCAGCGGGGACACAGGGUCUACUGCCAUGAGCCUCGCCUCCUGCCAGCCUGGGUGGGCUCCCGUGAGACACUGAAGUGGACAGUGAGAGCCUCCAGGAGCCCCAUGCUCUCAGGAGCACAGUUAGCCCCAGGAAUUGCUUUGCUGGCUUCCAGGGCUGAACAAACAGAGAAAGAGUCUCCAACAAGCCAAAGGUUGUCCUGAAGCCCCUAGUACUUCAGAAGAGGCGGGCAGGCUGCGGGACACACAGCCCUCAGAGGUUGAGGCAGGAACAGUGUGCUUUUGAGAUUAGCCUGGGUGACACACAGGGUUCGAAGCCAGCCUGAGUUACUUAGAGUUCAAGGCCUGUCCCAGAAUCCAAAGCCAACCCAAAUCAAAACAACAGAAAGAAAGAGAAGGCAGUAUAAAACUCCAUGCCACACACCCUGAGGAGAAUGCUUUCUCAGUGGCUAUUACUGCAAGAAUUAGAAGGGAGCUGGCAGGAAUUUUUUCCCAGGUUAAAAAUCCUGACCCGAGGUUUCAUAUUCCAACAACUGCAGCACUCUCAUCUUAGUGAGCCUCACUGUUUGCAGUCAGUGGAGAGCAGCCAGACACUGGCUGUAACCAGGUCGUGCUGGCUUUGCUACUGUGUGGAAGAAGCUAGCAGCUGCCCUGAAUUGAUAUCCAUCCCUUCAGUACACUGUCAUCUGGACCGAGUCACUGGAGGAGGAAGGUAGGGAGACACUCUGCCUCGCAGCCUCGAAACUGAAACUUGAAAAGUUGGCCAAGGUCUCCAUGUGCGGGUGACCCCGCUCAGCACAGAGGCUCCCUUCCCAUGGGGUGAAGGUUCUCCCGCUAAAAGCUCCAAGCCCAGCCCGCGAAUUGCACGCCACUCAGACACGGACCGCUCAUUUCUUUGACAUUUCAAGAAUCUCAGGGACAGGCCUGUUGAGUGCUUUCUAGAGUUUUCUCGGCACACCUGGCCAUCGGGCCUUUACUCAGGUAACAGUCAAGGUUUCUUAGAGGCAGACCUUCCCAUGGAACUUAGUUUGAGGUGGAAAAUGCAUUUGUUUGUACGAGAGGCGUGGCGGUUUACGUCGGUAAUCCCGAUACUUGGAAGCUGAGGUGUGAGGAGUGUGGUGAGUUUCAAUCCAGCUGAAGCCAGGAAUUGAGAUGCGGCCGGCCUGGACUACAGAGUGAGAGCCCGUCCAGAGUCGGGGAGAGAGAAUCUGUUUGAAUCAUGUACACUUACUAGUGACAGCUGCAAUCUUUUAGAUCAUUAACAUAGUCUUCAAGAUGCAAUUUUUAUUUUAUGUGUAAAGGUGUUCUGCCUCCAUGUGUGUCUGUGCAACAAUGCACGUGGUGCCUGCAGAGGCCAGAAGAGGGCAUUGGAGCUCCUGGGACUAGAGUUUCAGACGGUUGUAACCGACCACUUGGGUGCUGGAAACCAAACCUGGGUCAGAGUAGCCAGGGUUCCUAACCCUGAGCCAUCUCUCCAGGCCUGGGUUGUGUUUUAAAAUACAUAACACAGGUUGUGAAAUGUCUUUAUUGUGUAAGAAAAUUGUUAAUAUAUGUUCACUAUAGUGCACUCUUGAGUGACUCGGGCUUAGAAUUGUUAAUACAUCUUAAUAUUCUUAUAUCAGUAUUCUUGUAUAUGUUAUUAUUAGUAACUUAUAAUCUAUUUUCAAGCGUCUCAGCAUUAUCAUUGUUAACUUUUAUGAGAUUAUUAAGUGAAUUUUCACAAACAUACAUAAACAAAUCUUCCAUUUUGGCCAUUAAAAUGUUUCAAGUUGGAUUUUUGUUCAGUAUGAACCCUUUCAAGUUUUUAGAAAAAUAUGGAAAAGCAGAAAACUCUAUUAUCUGUUUCCCCAAAACAAACGUUUAACUAUUUUCAUCAGUCUUUCUUUAUGUGUAUACAGUUUUUACAUAGUUAAAAUCUUACUUUGUAAUUUUAUGUAUUUACUGAUUCAACAUUUUAGCAGCAGCAAUUUACAUUGUUUUUUUUUUUUUUUUUUGUAUCACAAGUGUCUUUGUUUAUUUAUUUACUUUAUAUCCUGGUUGCAGCCCUUCCUCCCAUUUCCCCCCCUCCUGUUCUCCCCUUUACACUGA